UGGCGAACGGGUGAGUAACACGUGAGUAACCUGCCCUUGACUCUGGGAUAAGCCUGGGAAACUGGGUCUAAUACCGGAUAUGACCAUCUGACGCAUGUCAUGGUGGUGGAAAGCUUUUGUGGUUUUGGAUGGACUCGCGGCCUAUCAGCUUGUUGGUGGGGUAAUGGCCUACCAAGGCGACGACGGGUAGCCGGCCUGAGAGGGUGACCGGCCACACUGGGACUGAGACACGGCCCAGACUCCUACGGGAGGCAGCAGUGGGGAAUAUUGCACAAUGGGCGGAAGCCUGAUGCAGCGACGCCGCGUGAGGGAUGACGGCCUUCGGGUUGUAAACCUCUUUCAGUAGGGAAGAAGCGAAAGUGACGGUACCUGCAGAAGAAGCGCCGGCUAACUACGUGCCAGCAGCCGCGGUAAUACGUAGGGCGCAAGCGUUAUCCGGAAUUAUUGGGCGUAAAGAGCUCGUAGGCGGUUUGUCGCGUCUGCUGUGAAAGACCGGGGCUCAACUCCGGUUCUGCAGUGGGUACGGGCAGACUAGAGUGCAGUAGGGGAGACUGGAAUUCCUGGUGUAGCGGUGAAAUGCGCAGAUAUCAGGAGGAACACCGAUGGCGAAGGCAGGUCUCUGGGCUGUAACUGACGCUGAGGAGCGAAAGCAUGGGGAGCGAACAGGAUUAGAUACCCUGGUAGUCCAUGCCGUAAACGUUGGGCACUAGGUGUGGGGGACAUUCCACGUUUUCCGCGCCGUAGCUAACGCAUUAAGUGCCCCGCCUGGGGAGUACGGCCGCAAGGCUAAAACUCAAAGGAAUUGACGGGGGCCCGCACAAGCGGCGGAGCAUGCGGAUUAAUUCGAUGCAACGCGAAGAACCUUACCAAGGCUUGACAUGAACCGGAAAGACCUGGAAACAGGUGCCCCGCUUGCGGUCGGUUUACAGGUGGUGCAUGGUUGUCGUCAGCUCGUGUCGUGAGAUGUUGGGUUAAGUCCCGCAACGAGCGCAACCCUCGUUCUAUGUUGCCAGCGCGUUAUGGCGGGGACUCAUAGGAGACUGCCGGGGUCAACUCGGAGGAAGGUGGGGACGACGUCAAAUCAUCAUGCCCCUUAUGUCUUGGGCUUCACGCAUGCUACAAUGGCCGGUACAAAGGGUUGCGAUACUGUGAGGUGGAGCUAAUCCCAAAAAGCCGGUCUCAGUUCGGAUUGGGGUCUGCAACUCGACCCCAUGAAGUCGGAGUCGCUAGUAAUCGCAGAUCAGCAACGCUGCGGUGAAUACGUUCCCGGGCCUUGUACACACCGCCCGUCAAGUCACGAAAGUUGGUAACAC
Molecule: ribosomal RNA, 1313 nt
Filed under: Arthrobacter sp.
Lineage: Bacteria; Bacillati; Actinomycetota; Actinomycetes; Micrococcales; Micrococcaceae
Description: bacterial SSU rRNA
Rfam family: Bacterial small subunit ribosomal RNA
Source: RNAcentral